This 8012-nucleotide long non-coding RNA is filed under the name Malus domestica (apple). Its description in RNAcentral is "long non-coding RNA (MDOM_LNC007441)". Lineage: Eukaryota; Viridiplantae; Streptophyta; Magnoliopsida; Rosales; Rosaceae. The record is from RNAcentral.
GAUAAGAAUGGUGAAAUAAUACGCUCUAGUGCUUCUCUCAUCAAUCAUCUGCGCUCAUAAUCUAAAGUCACCUACUAGUCGGAACCACCUAUAAUAGUCUGUACGACUAGUAUGUCAGAACCUUCUCAUGGUCUGUACGACAUGUCGGAACCCUCUCAUGGUCUGUACGACAUGCACCUACUUGGAUCCAAGGUGAACGUGCGGUGCGGGUGAAUAAUAUAAGCACUAACACCAUGAUUGCAGGUUAUGAUUUAUCCACAUAAUAUACAUCAUCAAUGAUUCACAUGAAUAACAUAAAACUCACCUGAUACUCACAUAUGCGUCCACAGCACCAAUUCACAUAUAUAUAUAUAUAUGCAUCAAUUAUCAAUUCAUAUAAUUCACAUCAUGCAUGCAUGGCAUUUUAGAAACAUACUUUCAUUAAAACUCAAUUUCUGGGAAAUUCAAUAGCAUAUAGGUAUAAAUAGAAAGUACUGCCCACUCACUGAUAAGUAAGUCGAAGGGUCGUAGCCCACGUGACGUCCCUGGAUGCGCUCGUCCUCGGGAUAGGUAUCACCUAUAUGCGAAAUAACUAUAAAAACGUUAUUUUAAAGCAUAUAACCAAUAAUACGUAAUAACUUCUCAUACGGUGCUCAAUUUGGGUAUAUGAAUAUACCACAGUGACCUACUCGACGUCAGGGACGUUGUGAUAUUUUUAGAAAAAAUUUUGGGUUUGCCACGCGCCCUCACACGCCAGGAAGGGCACGGGUCCACGCGCCCCCCACGCGCGUCUCCUACCUCGGGCUCGCCAGACUGGUUUUUCUGGUGGCCGGAAAACUGGAGAUUUUUCAAUCUCCUUGUUCUCCGUCAUUUCUCAACCAUUUUCUUCGUAUUUUAUAUCAAAAUGAAGCCCUAAACAUGUAGAAUCACGUUACACUACUUUAACGCUCUAAAAACUACGAAAUCUCACAAGAGAAAUUCCAAGAAAACCAGCCAACUUCGAACUACACGAUCCCGACGUCCAAAACUUCCAAACGAGCGUCCCCGAGCUUCCUUAGGACCUCACUAAGCUCACUAUAAGCUUAGAAUUCCAUGAAAAUCAACAUAUCACGAUUGCAUGAACAGUGACAUAAAACUGGGGUUCGGGUUUUACGUGAUUUCGAAGGUUUCACGUUCUAAAACUAGUACCAAACGACUCAGGAGAUCGAAAGGAUGAAGAACCUUACCUUUUUGCGUCGAUCCGCAACGUUUUGGAGGUUUGGGGCUUCGUCCGUACGAUUUCGAGAAUGAGAGAGAGACUGAACGGAGAGGAAAGAGAGAGAGCACGGGGGAAGAGGAAAGGAAAGGGGUCAUGUGCGUGUGUGUGGUCCAACCAAAACCAUACAUACCAAUUUUAAUCCCUAACCACACAAAAUACAAUCCAAAUUUAAUCCAACUUAAAGUAUUUUCUCCAAAAGUUUAGGAAUGUAUAUUUAGUCCAAAUAAUAUAUCACACACACACAUACCUUAAUACCCGUCAAGGGUAAUUCCAUCAUUUCACGUCCUUGAUGAAUAAAAUCCCGGGACGGGCUGUGACAAUCUUCCCCCCUUAUAGAAUUUCGUCCUCGAAAUUCAUACAACCAAUCAAACCACUUAAUACUCAUAAAACAACCUCGGAUACAUCUCUCUCAUUCGGUCUUCCGUUUCCCAAGUAGCUUCUUCUGCUAAGUGGUUCCUCCACAAUACUUUUACCAAACUCACCGUCUUAUUCCUUAGAACCUUGUCUUUCCAAUCCAAGAUAGUGACUGGUUCCUCAUCAUACGUCAAAUCUGGAUUAAUCUCCAAAGGUUGAAGAGGAAUCACAUGUGAAAGAUUUGAAACAUAAUGUCGAAGCAUCGAGAUAUGAAACACAUUAUGUACCUUAGAUAACUCCGGAGGCAACUCCAAUCUGUAAGCAACUUCACCAAUCCUCUCAGUGAUCUCAUAAGGUCCUAUAUAUCUAAGACUUAGCUUGCCUCUCUUUCCAAACCGUACUACACCUCUCCAAGGUGACAAUUUCAAGAAUACCAAAUUACCAACAUCAUAAACUCGAUCAGUAACAUGUCUAUCUGCUAAACUCUUUUGCAGAUCUUAGGCCGCUUUCAGGUUAACCUUAAUCACCUGAACAUUUUGAGUAGUCUCAUCCACAAUCUUUGGGCCCUCUAGCACUCUUUCGCCGACCUCUGACCAACACAAUGGUGUACGACAAGCUCUACCAUAAAGUGCCUCAAAUGGUGACAUACCAAUGCUCGAAUGAAAACUAUUAUUGUAGGCAAAUUCCAUCAAAUCUAGGCGAUCAUGCCAAGAAUCACCAAAUUGCAACACUGAAGAUCUUAACAUAUCCUCCAACGUCUGAAUAGUCCUCUCUGAUUGUCCAUCUAUCUGAGAAUGAUAAGCAGUGCUAUAAAGCAAUUUCGUACCAAGAGCUUCCUGAAAAGCUAUCCAAAACUUGGAAGUAAAUCUUGGAUCUCGAUCAGAAAUAAUAUUCACUGGAACUCCAUGAUACUUCACAAUCUUUGUGAUGAAUAACUUAGCCAAUUUAUUCAGAGAAUACUUUUCUCUCACUGGAAUGAAGUGUGCUGACUUGGUAAGCCGAUCUACAAUCACCCAAACGCCAUCAAAUCCAUUCUGAGUACGUGGGAGCUUAUACACAAAAUCCAUAGUUAUAUUUUCCCAUUUCCACUGAGGAACGGGAAGUGGUUGCAUCCGACCAAAAGGCUUCUCCUUUCUGCUUUAACUUGCUGACAAACAAUACACCUACUUACAUACUCUGCAAUUUCCCUCUUCAUACCCGGCCAAUAAUAAAAUGGUCGAAUGGUAUGGUACAUCUUAGUUCCUCCUGAGUGCAUUGCAUAAGCCGAACAAUGUGCUUCAUCCAAAAUUUCUUUCUUUAAUUCCUCGUUAAUCAGCACAUACAUUCUAUUCUCUUGCAUAAGCAUGCCAUCUGAUUCUCGAAUCUUGAGGUCUUUCUUUUUCCCUUCAUUCCUCAAUUGAAUCAAUUCUUGAAUCUCCUCAUCAACCAACUGAGCUUCAAGUACACGAUCAACCAAAACUGGCCUGACUUGGAAACUAGCAAGAAAAGCUUCUCUUCACUCUUCCAUUUCCAACUUUACUCCAGUAGCUCUCAAAUCUGCAAGAAGAGGAACACGGCAAGCAUACAAGGCAUUAAGUCGACCUUGAGGUUUCCUACUCAGUGCAUCAGCUAUCACAUUUGCACGACCCGGAUGAUACUCAAUAGUGCAGCCAUAAUCACUUAGCAACUCUAUCCAUCUUCGCUGACGAAGAUUAAGAUCAUGCUGAGUGAAAAGAUACUGAAGACUCUUAUGAUCUGUGAAGAUCUUACAUUUCUCACCAUAGAGAUAAUGCCUCCAAAUCUUCAAAGCAAAAACAAUGGCUGCUAACUCAAGAUCGUGAGUACGAUAAUUCCUUUCAUGAAUCUUCAACUGUUGAGAAGCAUAGGCAAUCACUCGGUUAUGCUGCAUCAAAACACAUCCCAAACCAUUCAAGGAAGCAUCACUAUAAAUCUCAUAGUUACCACAAUCAGUCAGGAAGUAUCAAAACAGGAGCAUGAGUGAGGCAAUGUUUCAACUGCUGGAAACUUUGCUCACAAUUCUCAUCCCAUACAAACUUAACAUCCUUUCUGGUUAACUUCGUUAGUGGUAAUGCAAUCAUAGAAAAAUCUUGAACAAACCGUCGAUAAUAACCUGCUAGACCAAGAAAACUCUGAACCUCGGUGACGGUUCGUGGUUGUUCCCAAUUCUCCACUGCUGCUAUCUUUUGAGGAUCUACUUGAAUUCCUUGUGCUGAUACUACAUGUCCUAAAAAUGCCACUUGAUUCAACCAAAACUGACAUUUAUUGAACUUGGCAUACAACUGAUGUUCCCUCAAUUUCUUUAGUACCAAGUUUAGAUGUCGAAUAUGAUCUGCUUUCGACUUAGAGUAUGCCAGAAUAUCAUCAAUGAAAACAAUGACAAACGUAUCAAGAUAUUGCUGGAAUACUUCAUUCAUCAACCUCAUGAAAGCUGCAGGUGCAUUAAUCAAUCCAAAUGGCAUUACCAAAAACUCAUAAUGUCCAUAACGGGUUCUGAAAGUCGUUUUAGGUACAUCCUCAUCUUUAAUCUUCAACUCGUAAUAACCAGAUCUCAAAUCAAUCUUAGAGAACACACACGCACCUUUAAGCUGAUCAAACAAAUCAUCGAUACGAGGCAAGGGAUAACGGUUUUUAAUCGUUACCCGGUUCAAUUGCCUGUAAUCAAUACAUAAUCUCAAAGUUCCAUCUUUCUUUCUCACAAACAACACCGGAGCUCCCCAAGGUGAAGUACUAGGUUGAAUGAAACCUUUAUCAGUUAAUUCCUGUAACUAAAUUUUCAACUCUCUCAAUUCAGCUGGAGCCAUUCUAUAUGGGGUCAAAGAUAUAGGAUUCGUACCUGGAAGCAAAUCAAUCGAAAACUCCACCUCUCUGUCUGGCGGCAAUCCAGGCAAAUCAUCUGGAAAUACAACAGGAUAGUGCCUGACUACACGAACUUCCUCAAGACUUCUUGGAACAACAUCAUUUAGCAUCACAUGUCCUAAGUAUCCUUGACAACCUUUCGAUAACAACUUUUUUGCUCUCAUGGCAGAAAUAACACCAUGUCUCACCCCACUUCUUUCACCCACAAAAGUAAUGUCUGGUAGUCCAGGACGAAGAAAAGUAACUGAUUUCCCGUAACAAUCUAUAUGGGCACGAUUAAAAUGUAACCAAUCGGCCCCUAAAAUCACAUCAAAAUCCACAAUAUCUAACGGGAUAAGAUUAGCUGGCAUAACUACGCCAUCUACCAUCACUGGCCACCCUGGAUAAACACUAUCAACAUAACAUUUGUUCCCUCUAGGCAUAGCAAACUCUAAAUCAAAUCCUAGAGGUGUAGAAUGAGGUUGUGUCAUUUGAGCAAACGUAUGAGAAAUCACAGAAUGGGUAGCACCACAAUCAAUCAAAACUCUAGCAAAAUGACCAAGGAUGUUUAACGUACCCAUAAUCAAGUCUGGAUGGUUCUGAGCAUCCUGCAGUGAUAUGUGAUUAACACGUCCCUGAGCUUGUUGUCGUCCACCACGACCUCUGCUACCUUGAUUACCUCGCCCCUGAGAAGUGCAUCCCUGACCUGACUGGCUAGCCUACCUAGACGGUCCUGCACCGCUAGCAGUAACCUCUCCUUGACGGGGCUGAUUUCCCUGAUGCCACUGAGAUCCACUAGCUGGCAUGGAAGAAUAUGAAGAAUAGCCUCCAGGAUCUUGGGAAUACCCACUCUGAGAAUAAGGAUCAUGGGCAUACUGAUACUAUCCGGAUGCAUAGGGAGCAGCAUCACCUUGAUAGUGGUAAGCACCCCCACGACUCGUCUAACCAUAACUGCCUGAUCCAUAACUAUGCUGUACAGGUGCUGGAAGUGGCAUAGCAGACUGCUGAGGCCUCUGCUGACUCUGGGGACACUUUGUAGCUCUAUGUCCCAUUUGUCCACAAGUAAAACAACCACCACCACUACUUCUCCUACACUCUCUAUGAUGCCUGAAAUUACAACGACGGCAUAACGGAGGACCUGAACCACCAGUACCACUAAAAUCUCUCAGCCUCUGAAAUCUGGGUCCACCAGCAAAUCUUCCACCUCUCAUCGGGCCUGUCACACUAAAUCCUCCACUGGAAGAACUCGAGCUCGCCCCACUUUUCUUGAAAUUCUGCAUCCUACGGGGUCCUGGAAUGGAGAUACCUUUUCCCUGUCAUCUCUCUUCUGAGUAUCAUUAUUCUCUUCAUCAUCAUCGCUGUUACUGGGAAGGUUAUCAGAAUCCUCCAUCCGAACCAAGAUCUCAGAAAACUCAUGAUAAUCGACGCAAGGAAGUGCACUAGCAAAAGUCCGCCAUUUCCUCUUAAUUCCCAACUUAAAGCGGCGAAGCAUCUCUACCUGAUUACCAGCUGUAUCAGGAUCAUAACGAGAUAAGUCUGUAAAUUUCAUGUAGUACUCAUGCGCUGUCAUAUUCUUUUGCUUCAAUCGGGCGAAUUCUUGCUUCUUACGGUCGAUGUACUCUGGAAGAACAAAUCUCUUCUUAAAAUUCUCCUUAAAUACCUCCCAAUCAGAUGCCAUCUCCGGUGACAUAAACUGGGCCUGAUUCUUCCACCAACCUGCUGGCUCUUAUCCAAAAAACCAAGUAGUGGUCUCGACCCAUCUAUUAACAAGAAGAUUCCCCUGACUUUGCAUCACCUGAAAAGUCUUCUCAAUAUGGUCUAGCCACUUUUCUGCCCCUGAAGUUAGACCGUUUCAUGGGUAACGAGGGUCAUGAAGGGGGACAGAUUGCAUUCUGAAAAGCAUGAGCCAUUGCUUCCUAUGAAAAGUCUUUUCAGAAUGCAAUCCGUCCUCGUUACCCAUGAAAAGUCUUUUCAGAAUGCAAUCCGUUCUCUGUCUCCAAGGGUGUUCUCUGAGGAGGAGGAUGACAGAUUGCAUUCUGAAAAGCAUGAGCCAUUGCUUCCCCUAAUUGAGCUAUAUCAGGGAAGUUAGACUCAGAAGUACAACGUAGUUCUCUACGAGGCGGCAUAAUUCUGACAGAAGACACCAAAAGAUCAUUAGAGCAUUAACAAUUAUACAGGACUGCAACCUAGGCUCUGAUACCAAACUGACACACCCUGAUCCUAGAAUUAAGGCGUGAUGGCCGUCACGUGAACGUGACGUAACCAUAAGUGUGGUGCGGAAGCAAAGAUAAGAGAAUUACGAAGGAAUCAAAACCAAUUACUAGCAACAAUAACCAAAUAGCAUGCUAGAGUGAGUUAAAGUGUGAACACACACAUAGACAGAGCUUAAGAACUAGGUGCAGUCAAGUAGGACUAUAAUCAAAUUAUAACACCCGCAGGUGAGUCCUACAUGUAGGAAGUCUGUCAGAACGUCGAAGAAAAACCUUGUGAGCCACCAACUGCUAACUAGAACCUGGAGGGGCGCAAAACAAAAUUGAGUGGGUCAGUAAAACGAAACUUUUCAAAAACCUUUCAUUUAAAACAUUUCUAACCCCUCGUUGUAAAACCUGUAUACUUUCCCAGAAAAUAACAUAAUAGCAUAUAACUUUUCAAAUAUCUCAAAUCAUCACUCUUUCUCAAAACCAGAAAGUAUGCCAUGCUAUAAAUGUCAAAACAGAAUGAAUGAUGCAUCAAUGUAACAGGUGACAUAAUGAAUUAACCGGAGACCCUCCAAUUGGUCCUGUGCAGUUAAUUCUAUAGCUCAACAUCCAAUCCAACCGGAGUCACCUCGGUGACCUGUAUGGCACUACACUGCAUAUAAGUCGGAACUACCUGAAGUAGUCUGUACGACAAGAAUGGUGAAAUAAUACGCUCUAAUGCUUCUCUCAUCAAUCAUCUGCGCGCAUAAUCUAAAGUCACCUACUAGUCGGAACCACCUCUAAUGGUCUGUACGACUAGUAUGUCGGAACCCUCUCAUGGUCUGUACGACAUGUCGGAACCCUCUCAUGGUCUGUACGACAUGCACCUACUUGGAUCCAAGGUGAACGUGCGGUGCGGGUGAAUAAUAUAAGCACUAACACCAUGAUUGCAGGUUAUGAGUUAUCCACAUAAUAUACAUCAUCAAUGAUUCACAUGAAUAACAUAAAACUCACCUGAUACUCACCUGUGCGUCCACAACACCAAUUCACAUAUAUAUAUAUAUAUAUGCAUCAAUUAUCAAUUCAUAUAAUUCACAUCAUGCAUGCAUGGCAUUUUAGAAACAUACUUUCAUUAAAACUCAAUUUCUGGGAAAUUAAAUAGCAUAUAGGUAUAAAUAGAAAGUACUGCCCACUCACUGAUAAGUCGAAGGGUCGUAGCACCCGUGACGUCCCUGGAUGCGCUCGUCCUCGGGAUAGGUAUCACCUAUAUGCGAAAUAACUAUAAAAACGUUAUUUUAAAGCAUAUAACCAAUAAUACGUAAUAACUUCUCAUACGGUGCUCAAUUUGGGUAUAUGAAUAUAACACAGUGACCUACUCGACGUCACGGACGUCGUGAUAUUUUUAGAAA